Molecule: ribosomal RNA, 314 nt
Filed under: uncultured bacterium
Lineage: Bacteria
Description: bacterial SSU rRNA
Rfam family: Bacterial small subunit ribosomal RNA
Source: RNAcentral
AUGAUUAAAGGGUAUUCCGGGUAGACGAUGGGGAUGCGUUCAUUAGAUAGUAGGCGGGGUAAAGGCCCACCUAGUCUUCGAUGGAUAGGGGGUUCCUGAGAGGAAGGUCCCCCANAUUGGAACUGAGACACGGGUCCAAACUCCUACGGGAGGCAGCAGUGAGGAAUAUUGGUCAAUGGGCGAGAGCCUGAACCAGCCAAGUAGCGUGAAGGAUGACUGCCCUAUGGGUUGUAAACUUCUUUUAUAAAGGAAUAAAGUCGGGUAUGGAUACCCGUUUGCAUGUACUUUAUGAAUAAGGAUCGGCUAACUCCGUG